Molecule: ribosomal RNA, 253 nt
Filed under: uncultured bacterium
Lineage: Bacteria
Description: partial 16S ribosomal RNA
Rfam family: Bacterial small subunit ribosomal RNA
Source: RNAcentral
UACGUAGGUGGCAAGCGUUGUCCGGAUUUAUUGGGUUUAAAGGGUGCGUAGGCGGACUAUUAAGUCAGUGGUGAAAGCCCCAAGCUUAACUUGGGAACUGCCAUUGAUACUGAUGGUCUUGAGUACAUUUGAGGUGGGCGGAAUGUGUCAUGUAGCGGUGAAAUGCUUAGAUAUGACACAGAACACCGAUUGCGAAGGCAGCUCACUAAACUGUAACUGACGCUGAGGCACGAAAGCGUGAGGAGCAAACAGG